CCAAUGAGGAGGAUCUUGUUCCAGAGGGAAGUUUAUUUUUACCCAUUGAUAAGGAAAAACCAUUUUCAGAAAAUUUGAAGAAGACUGCCAAAAAAGAUAACAUCAAACAUAAAGAGAAUUCAGCAGACAUCUGAUGAUUUGAAUUGCUGACAGUGGAAAUGGAGAAAACACAUACAUAGAGGACUUGCGUGUCUGA
Long non-coding RNA from Bos indicus x Bos taurus (hybrid cattle), 196 nucleotides. The record is from Ensembl. NCBI's taxonomy places the organism in Eukaryota, Metazoa, Chordata, Mammalia, Artiodactyla, Bovidae.